AAGUUUUUCCCGUCAGAAGAAUAUCACAAAUUAGAAUUAGGUGGAGGUCAUGGUAAAGGAAAACGGGCCAAGGCCAAAUAUGCCGACAGGGUCAUGGUCAAGCGGCUCAAGGAUGAGGUUUUUCCCUCCUUGUGGAAGGCCUACUAUGCCCAGGGUUAUCCACCAGACGAGGCCAGUGCUGUUGAGACUUAUUUGGAAAAGGUGAAAGCCAGCUGCUGCUGCAGUGGCAGUACUGGCAAGAUUUCGUCCUCCUCGUCCUUGUUGGCGGAUGCUCUGCUUCGGCAUGAGAUCACAGGCUACGUGCACCAUUGGAAUUUAGGCCGCACUGCUGAGCUCCAGUGGAAGUCAAUGGUGGAGGACGUCUACUCAAAGCAGGGCAAGUUCAAAAACUGGUUGGCUGUAUGUGAUGUCCACCUCAAAUUCAUGGACGACGAGGACUCCUUGGAGGUCUCCAUUGCUUUGGGGCUCUUGCUGUCUGAACUGAGUGAAGAGCCAUGGAAAGGAAAGGUGAUCCAAUUCAGUUGUGAGCCUCAGCUACAUUCCAUACAAGGCGGCGACGAUCUUAGGUACAAGUACGAGUUUGUGAGGAGGAUGACCUGCGGUGUCGACCUUGAUUUUGAGAAGCUGUUUGAUUUGAUUCUCCAAGUGGCUGUGAAUGAGAACUUGAAGCCGGAUCAGAUGAUCAAGAAGGUGUUGGUGUUGAGUCACCGGGACUUUGAUAGUGCCAGUGCGGCCGAAACUUCUUGGGAGAUUGAUUACCAGGCAAUACAGGGCAAGUAUAAGGAGAAAGGGUACGGGGAUGUUGUGCCACACAUGGUGUUUUGGACUUUGUCAAAGUACAACCCGGAGAAGCCGGUGGCGCCUCGUACACAACCGGGGGUGUCCAUUCUCAAUGGCUUCUCUAACAAUCUGCUCAAGCACUUUCUCAACAAUGAAGGCGAAAUUGGCCCCGACUAUCUCAUGGAAUUAG
This 970-nucleotide long non-coding RNA is filed under the name Prunus dulcis (almond). Its description in RNAcentral is "sRNA ncRNA". Lineage: Eukaryota; Viridiplantae; Streptophyta; Magnoliopsida; Rosales; Rosaceae. The record is from RNAcentral.